Cinara cedri is the source of this 442-nucleotide non-coding RNA. Lineage: Eukaryota; Metazoa; Arthropoda; Insecta; Hemiptera; Aphididae. The record is from the annotation of a GenBank genome assembly.
AUUCUGGAGGACAGGACGUUGCGUUUUUUCCGUUUUCUCCGAAUAUAACAGUUAAUUUACUGUUUAUAAAUAACGAAUUUUUACGUUUUUUUAAUUCGCUAAAACUUUAAGAAAAAAAAUGUUUCCAAAAGGAAACGCAACGUUUUGUACUCCGGAAUAUUGUUCUAUGUUAAUUUCAUAAUGGGUGCUUUUACUUUAAAACCAAAACCAAGCUAGUUUUGUGUAGUCUGCGUAAGCAUGUUUUUACUAUAUAUUGUUUGUCUUACGAAACCACAAAAUAAUGCAUGUGUAACGUCCUCUUAAAUAAAUUGGCUUCACUAAAUAUACAUCGUGAUUUAACUAUUGAUUUCAACUAAGUAUUAAAUUAACUGUUUUCUAUCUCUCAUAGUCAUGCUAACUUAAAAUAAAAUAAUAACAAUUAAAAUACUAUUAACGAGAGAUU